Molecule: long non-coding RNA, 285 nt
Organism: Maniola jurtina (meadow brown)
Lineage: Eukaryota; Metazoa; Arthropoda; Insecta; Lepidoptera; Nymphalidae
Exons: 4
Source: RefSeq, a predicted model, not a curated record
AAUAAUGCUACAAUAUUAGAUGUACUAGGAAAAAUUAGAAAAUUAAAAUGGAAAUGGGCUGGGCAUGUUUGCAGACAAAAUCAAGAUAGGUGGGCAAAAAGAGUAACGGAAUGGUAUCCCAGAGAUGGAAAAAGAGCAAGAGGGAGACAAAGAAUUAGAUGGAGUGAUGAUUUUGUGAAAAUUAUGGGAGCAACAUGGCAACGAUUGACCCAAGACAGAGAAAUGUGGAAAAGACUGGAGGAGGCCUUCGUCCAAAGGGCGUACUGAAAACAAAUAAAAUUGGAA